Grammomys surdaster is the source of this 107-nucleotide small nuclear RNA. NCBI's taxonomy places the organism in Eukaryota, Metazoa, Chordata, Mammalia, Rodentia, Muridae. The record is from RefSeq and is a predicted model, not a curated record.
GUGCUCACUUUAGCAGCAAAUAUUCUAAAAUUGGAAUGAUACAGAGAAGAUUAGCAUGGCCCCUACGCAAAGAUGACACACAGAUUCAUGAAGCAGUCCAUAUUUUU